GUAUUGCAUCAUGGAGAGGGAUGACAAACUGCGUAAAAGGAGAAAUUGAAUCGAGCGCCAAAAACUUUGAAGAUUCAGCAGCUCGCCUCAUCUCAGACGACAACGAUUCAGUGGGAACGGCAGUCACGUCGGUUUCAAUUUGUUAUUGAAACUAUUAUUAACAACCAAGUCAAGACUCGACUACACAAAACGCUGCUGCUGCGAGCCACUUCCACCGUCUGUAACUCCCCAACCGAACCUCGAUGGACAACUGGACCUUUUUGGAUGCACCCAGCGGAAAAGCCCUGUUAUCAUGUCCAUCUUUGCGCACACACAAGCUUUAUAUGGAGCAUGAAUGAAGUCUGCAUCAAUGAGGCCACUGAAGACACCACUGUUGGGAUUUAUGUUUUCAAACAACAUGCUUCUGAUGAACCAGAGGAUGUUGGUGUUGUCCUUGAAAGCAUUAAAGGGAUAGUUCACCCAAAAAAAUCUAAAUACUGUCAUUAAUUACUCACCCACAUGUCAUUCCAAACCUGUAAGACCUUCGUUCAUCUUCAGAAACAAAAAAAAUUAAGAUAUUUUUGAUUUCCUCCAUUAUGAAGAGUCCUUUUUUUUUAUUAUUACUGAUAUCCUUCCUAUGUUUCUGGGUCUUGGAACAUUUCAGUUGCAUUGCUGUCUUCGGAGGGUCAGAGAGCUCUCAGAUUUCAACAAAAAUAUCUUCAUUUGUAUUCUGAAGAUGAACAAAGGUCUUACAUGUUUGGAACAACAUGAAGGGUGAGUUAUUAAUGAAAGAAUUGUAAUUUCUGGGUGAACUAACUCUUUAAGAUGCAUGGUUAACCUUCACAGUGAACUGUAACAAGCUAUUGCUCUAUUUUAACUUUUUCACAUUGUGCAAUGUUUGGAUUACUAUUUUGUAUAUGCGCUUUUAAGUCUACUGUGAUAGUUAAUAUUUUUUACAAAUGUCUUGCUGUUCUUCAUCCAAUUUGUCAAUACAUUAUGUAUUUUUGGUUGAAUAUGCUAUUGAUGCAUUAAAGUGUUUUUUUUAUUAUUAUUAUUCUUCUGUGUAAUCAAUUUAUAGCAACUGUGCUCAGUCCUCCAUUUGUAAAUGUGUAGUUAACAACUCAAUACAAAAAAAAUAAAAGUACCAACUCUUGCUUUUUGCCUUUGUCAAUGCCAGAUGCAAUUUUAGAAUUUUGAUUUUGUAUUCACACAUUUGAACAUGUCUACAGUACAGUACAUGUAGAAUUUAAUGAAGCAAGUUAGGUUUACCCAACUCUGGUACCAGAGACAUAAUGAAAUUGCUUUAGAGUUGCAUAAUAUUUUUGAUUAAUACUAGCAUUAA
Long non-coding RNA from Cyprinus carpio (common carp), 1321 nucleotides. RefSeq lists it as uncharacterized. The transcript has 4 exons. Lineage: Eukaryota; Metazoa; Chordata; Actinopteri; Cypriniformes; Cyprinidae. The record is from RefSeq and is a predicted model, not a curated record.